This 253-nucleotide ribosomal RNA is filed under the name uncultured bacterium. RNAcentral's name for it is "partial 16S ribosomal RNA". It matches the Rfam family "Bacterial small subunit ribosomal RNA", at positions 524 to 776 of the family's 1533-position model. The record is from RNAcentral.
UACGUAGGGUGCGAGCGUUGUCCGGAAUUAUUGGGCGUAAAGGGCUCGUAGGCGGUUUGUCGCGUCGGGAGUGAAAACCUCGGGCUUAACUCGGGGCCUGCUUUCGAUACGGGCAGACUAGAGGUAUGCAGGGGAGAACGGAAUUCCUGGUGUAGCGGUGAAAUGCGUAGAUAUCAGGAGGAACACCGGUGGCGAAGGCGGGUCUCUGGGCCGAUACUGACGCUGAGGAGCGAAAGCGUGGGGAGCGAACAGG